CCUCCCAUCCCACCUCUCGAUCGAUAAGCCUCGUAUAAUCCCACCUCGUUACCCCUUCCACCGAUUUUCUUUUGAACCAAACCCCACCGAUCUUUUCUGGUCUUUUCUCCAUCAUGUAUCCCACGUCUCAGCCCUCCCGGUACGCUCACCCUGAUCGAUCAUUGACCGACGAGGUAUCCUUUUUUUGCGUGGAGACGAGGUAUCCUUUUCCUUCCCACAAAUCUCAAUAGAAUCAAACCUUUCCCAAAUCACAACAGAAUCAAAGACUUUCAUGCCACGGAUUCCCUCCUGUUCCUUCCCGAACAUAUCUCAAACGAAUAAAAUAUCUCAAUCAAUAGAGUAAAUCAGGAGUACGUCGCGUACGUAUGCCCAGAAAAAAAUUCGGGACGUGAUCCCCUGAAUCUUUCUGUACAUACUCCUUCCAGAUCGCUGCUGGUAGUCUUGGUCUCUUGGAACAUGAAGGGCACCAGCUUGUGAGCCGAGAUCUUUUCGAUCCCAUGCUGCUCCAGCGGUAGAUUAUCUUAGUAUAUUGUUCUAAGUUCUAACCCUCCGUGUUAUCUAUGGAUUUCUCAAGCAUGAGUCGUCCCGCUGAUGAUGCAUCGCAAACAUGCAAUGGCCUGCCAUUGCAGACGUAGCCGACAUGAGGGCCGCCAUCAAUCCCGCCGUCGAAACCACCCACCCGACGUGGCCAAGCCAUCUGGUCCUCGCCAACGAGUACCGCUCCUCCGGAGCUUGCAAGGUUUUCUCCUCCACACGAGUUGAGGAAGUCAUCUUCGAUCUUGCCGAUCGGGGUUGUGUGUCUUGGAUCUCAUGAGCGGCAGCAGUUCGAUCGACGCAGGAGGUGGCCGUGGGCGAGGUGUUAUUGUGUUAACUAAUGUCACCCACCCGAAGCGGACACCCUUGCCGCCACCAAGCUCCUCCCGCAGGUGACCCGAUGCGGGGGAUUGGUGUUGCCUGCAGUCGGUGGCUUCUCCAAGGGUGAGCGUAAGCGUGGCGAGCCAGCGGCGCCGUGGGCUACGCUCAGCGCCAUGGUGUGGCUGCAGGGGUGGACAUCGUGUGGCAUGGCCACGAGGCCAAAGCAAGAUCAUUAGAUCAGGCUGGGCUGCUACUGGUUGUCGUUCCUCGUUGCUCGAAGGUGAAAAUCUCAUGCUGCCAUGUGCUUGUCCUCUCAUGUAUGAAUCAUUUGCAGAUGCAGGUAAUGUGCACAUAUCUCUAUGCCUGUAGGAGUAUUUGGCAAUUUAUGCAGGUGAUGAUCCAGCGCCAUGAUGCAAAAUUCAGUUUAUGUGUUAUGUGUCUUCAAAGGAUUUGGCAGUUUUGGCACCAGGAUUUUUUGGCCAAAUGCGUCAUUUCAACCAUAAGUAGAAUACGAACUUGUGAGACAGAGCUGAUUGAUACGUUUGUGGACCUUUAAAAAAUGUAGAACUGAGUAGUUUUCUUCAGUAAUUAUACCAAUUAGCUACCUACUUACAUUUAAGUUCUUUGUGAAAUACUGUAAUUGUUAGAUACAGCUGACUUUGAAUAAUUAUUAGUAGCACGUACACGUCUAUCAUUACUGAUAAUGCUAAGUAGGUCCAUUGUUUAAUGAAAGCUAUACAGUUUCGGUAUUGUAAUAGGUUAUUUGUUGACUGAUGCUUAUCUUGUUCCCUGGUUGAUCUCAACAUCAAACGUUCUACGCUUCCUUUUUGAUAGCCGAGAGGUGUACUAUGAAAGGAAGACUUGCUCCAAAGGUUGUAAUGCCAUUUACUAUGCAGAUGAUUCCGGCAACUUCUCAAACAAGUCAACAUUAUCAUUUACCCUGUAGAUGGUUGGAGAAUGCACAGAGCGCGAAUGACAGCCUCAAACAAAUGUAGCAGAGCAAGGUGAUGAAUUCUCCCAUGUUUUGUAAUCUGAAUCUUCACCAGAAUCUCUCGAUUGUUCGAUCCAGUUUGUUGUUAUAGUACAAUUAUUCCUAAACUGGAUCUUUGCUCGAAUAGCUUGAUCGAUCCAGUAUGUUGUUAUUGUAGUGGCGGUCCCUAGCCCCGACAUACUAAUCCUCAUAGCUUGUGCCUCCGACACGGCCUCCCUCAUCGACGCGACCAAGUUUGGGAUGAUGCAUAAGCAUGCAGCAUCCCUCCUGAAGGAGAAGCAGGAGCUGCUCCUUCACACCCUCCUCGUAUAGAUGGGUUGACAUUUAUCUCACGUUGUUUCAAACAUAAAUUGAUUGUCCAUCAAGUAGGAAAUUUUGGUUUUCUCUACAUGGCAUGAUAUUAUUCCCUUUUCUAGGUCUAAUUUAUGAAGAAACCAGUACAGAGGAUCUUCUAGAAAGAAACCCUUUUCUAGGUCUAA
This is a long non-coding RNA of Triticum aestivum (bread wheat), 2325 nucleotides long. RefSeq lists it as uncharacterized. The record is from RefSeq and is a predicted model, not a curated record. The transcript has 2 exons. Lineage: Eukaryota; Viridiplantae; Streptophyta; Magnoliopsida; Poales; Poaceae.